This 449-nucleotide ribosomal RNA is filed under the name uncultured Hydrogenophaga sp. Its description in RNAcentral is "bacterial SSU rRNA". It matches the Rfam family "Bacterial small subunit ribosomal RNA", at positions 55 to 500 of the family's 1533-position model. The record is from RNAcentral. Lineage: Bacteria; Pseudomonadati; Pseudomonadota; Betaproteobacteria; Burkholderiales; Comamonadaceae.
AUGCAAGUCGAACGGUAACAGGUCUUCGGAUGCUGACGAGUGGCGAACGGGUGAGUAAUGCAUCGGAACGUGCCCAGUCGUGGGGGAUAACGCAGCGAAAGCUGUGCUAAUACCGCAUACGAUCUGCGGAUGAAAGCGGGGGACCUUCGGGCCUCGCGCGAUUGGAGCGGCCGAUGUCAGAUUAGGUAGUUGGUGGGGUAAAGGCUCACCAAGCCAACGAUCUGUAGCUGGUCUGAGAGGACGACCAGCCACACUGGGACUGAGACACGGCCCAGACUCCUACGGGAGGCAGCAGUGGGGAAUUUUGGACAAUGGGCGCAAGCCUGAUCCAGCAAUGCCGCGUGCAGGAAGAAGGCCUUCGGGUUGUAAACUGCUUUUGUACGGAACGAAAAGCUCUGGGUUAAUACCCUGGGGUCAUGACGGUACCGUAAGUAAUAAGCACCGGCGUA